ACUCAAAGGAAUUGACGGGGACCCGCACAAGCGGUGGAGCAUGUGGAUUAAUUCGAAGCAACGCGAAGAACCUUACCAAGGCUUGACAUCCCCCCGCAAGCUCCGGAAACGGGGCCGCCCCUCCGGGGGCGGGGGAGACAGGUGGUGCAUGGUUGUCGUCAGCUCGUGUCGUGAGAUGUUGGGUUAAGUCCCGCAACGAGCGCAACCCCUGCCGAAAGUAGCCAUCGGGCAAAGCCGGGCACUCUGUAGGGACUGCCGUGGACAACACGGAGGAAGGCGGGGACGACGUCAAAUCAUCAUGCCCCUUAUGCCUUGGGCGUCACACGUGCUACAAUGGCCCAAACAAAGCGAAGCGGAGCCGCGAGGCCGGGCAAAGCGCAAAAAAGGGUCCCAGUUCGGAUUGCAGCCUGCAACUCGGCUGCAUGAAGUUGGAAUCGCUAGUAAUCGCGGAUCAGCACGCCGCGGUGAAUACGUUCCCGGGUCUUGUACACACCGCCCGU
RNAcentral lists this ribosomal RNA (500 nucleotides) under uncultured bacterium. Its description in RNAcentral is "bacterial SSU rRNA". It matches the Rfam family "Bacterial small subunit ribosomal RNA", at positions 899 to 1397 of the family's 1533-position model. The record is from RNAcentral.